RNAcentral lists this ribosomal RNA (222 nucleotides) under Triticum aestivum (bread wheat). RNAcentral's name for it is "partial small subunit ribosomal RNA". Lineage: Eukaryota; Viridiplantae; Streptophyta; Magnoliopsida; Poales; Poaceae. The record is from RNAcentral.
AUGAAAGGAAAAUCCUGCCGAGGCAAUCGUAUUUGUUUUGGUAGAUAUGCUCUUCAAGCACUUGAACCCGCUUGGAUCACGGCGAGACAGAUAGAAGCAGGACGAAGAGCAAUAACACGAUAUGCACGUCGUGGUGGAAAAAUAUGGGUACGUAUAUUUCCCGACAAACCGGUUACACUAAGACCCACAGAAACACGUAUGGGCUCGGGAAAGGGGUCCCCC